RNAcentral lists this ribosomal RNA (1258 nucleotides) under uncultured bacterium. RNAcentral describes it as "bacterial SSU rRNA". It matches the Rfam family "Bacterial small subunit ribosomal RNA", at positions 94 to 1352 of the family's 1533-position model. The record is from RNAcentral.
AGCGGCGAACGGGUGAGUAAUACAUCGGAACGUGCCCAGUAGUGGGGGAUAACCAGUCGAAAGAUUGACUAAUACCGCGUACGACCUACGGGUGAAAGCGGGGGACCGCAAGGCCUCGCGCUAUUGGAGCGGCCGAUGUCGGAUUAGCUAGUUGGCGGGGUAACGGCCCACCAAGGCGACGAUCCGUAGCUGGUCUGAGAGGACGACCAGCCACACUGGAACUGAGACACGGUCCAGACUCCUACGGGAGGCAGCAGUGGGGAAUUUUGGACAAUGGGCGCAAGCCUGAUCCAGCCAUGCCGCGUGAGUGAAGAAGGCCUUCGGGUUGUAAAGCUCUUUCGGCGGGGACGAAACGGUCCGUGCCAACACCAUGGAUCAAUGACGGUACUCGCAGAAGAAGCACCGGCUAACUACGUGCCAGCAGCCGCGGUAAUACGUAGGGUGCAGGCGUUAAUCGGAAUUACUGGGCGUAAAGCGUGCGCAGGCGGCUCCUUAAGUCAGAUGUGAAAUCCCCGGGCUUAACCUGGGAACUGCGUUUGAAACUGGGGAGCUGGAGUGUGGAAGAGGGGGUGGAAUUCCAGGUGUAGCAGUGAAAUGCGUAGAGAUCUGGAGGAACACCGAUGGCGAAGGCAGCCCCCUGGGCUAACACUGACGCUCAUGCACGAAAGCGUGGGGAGCAAACAGGAUUAGAUACCCUGGUAGUCCACGCCUAAACGAUGUCAACUAGUUGUUAGGGAAGCAAUUCCUUGGUAACGAAGCUAACGCGUGAAGUUGACCGCCUGGGGAGUACGGCCGCAAGGUUAAAACUCAAAGGAAUUGACGGGGACCCGCACAAGCGGUGGAUUAUGUGGAUUAAUUCGAUGCAACGCGAAAAACCUUACCUACCCUUGACAUGUACGGAACCUCGCAGAGAUGUGAGGGUGCCCGAAAGGGAGCCGUAACACAGGUGCUGCAUGGCUGUCGUCAGCUCGUGUCGUGAGAUGUUGGGUUAAGUCCCGCAACGAGCGCAACCCUUGUCACUAGUUGCUACAUUCAGUUGGGCACUCUAAUGAGACUGCCGGUGACAAACCGGAGGAAGGUGGGGAUGACGUCAAGUCCUCAUGGCCCUUAUGGGUAGGGCUUCACACGUAAUACAAUGGCCGGUACAAGGGGCUGCCAACCCGCGAGGGGGAGCUAAUCCUAGAAAGCCGGUCGUAGUCCGGAUUGUUCUCUGCAACUCGAGAGCAUGAAGUCGGAAUCGCUAGUAAUCGUGGAUCAG